This 69-nucleotide transfer RNA is filed under the name Marmota monax (woodchuck). RNAcentral's name for it is "tRNA.Ala". Lineage: Eukaryota; Metazoa; Chordata; Mammalia; Rodentia; Sciuridae. The record is from RNAcentral.
GGGAUUGUAGCUCAGUGGUAGAGCACAUGCCUAGCCCGUGUGAGGCACUGCAUUCAAUUCUUAGCCCCA